GCGGAAGUGACGUACAGCGGCCGCCGGAGGUGUCGUUGGUGUGUUGCGCGACUGCCCUCUGAGGGAAGCGAGACCUGAUCGUGGAGCUGGGCCUGAGCCCGGAAAGACAUCGCAAUGUCGAUCGAAAUCGAGUCCUCGGAUGUGAUCCGUCUCAUCAUGCAGUACCUGAAGGAGAACAGCUUACAUCGGGCGUUAGCCACCUUACAGGAGGAAACGACUGUGUCUUUGAAUACCGUGGACAGUAUUGAGAGUUUUGUGGCUGACAUUAAUAGCGGCCAUUGGGAUACUGUUUUACAGGCUAUACAGUCUCUGAAAUUGCCAGACAAAACCCUCAUCGACCUCUAUGAACAGGUUGUUCUAGAAUUGAUAGAGCUCCGUGAAUUGGGUGCUGCCAGGUCACUUCUGAGACAGACUGACCCUAUGAUCAUGUUAAAACAAACACAGCCAGAACGGUAUAUUCAUCUGGAGAACCUCUUGGCCAGGUCUUAUUUUGAUCCUCGUGAGGCAUACCCAGAUGGAAGUAGCAAAGAGAAGAGAAGAGCAGCAAUUGCCCAGGCCUUAGCAGGGGAAGUCAGUGUGGUCCCUCCAUCUCGUCUCAUGGCAUUGCUGGGACAGGCACUGAAAUGGCAGCAACACCAGGGAUUGCUCCCUCCCGGCAUGACCAUAGAUUUGUUCCGAGGCAAAGCAGCUGUCAAAGAUGUAGAAGAAGAAAAGUUUCCUACGCAGCUGAGUAGGCAUAUUAAGUUUGGUCAGAAAUCACAUGUGGAGUGUGCUCGAUUUUCUCCAGAUGGUCAGUAUCUGGUCACUGGGUCUGUUGAUGGAUUCAUUGAAGUGUGGAACUUUACGACUGGAAAAAUCAGGAAGGAUCUUAAGUACCAGGCCCAGGACAACUUUAUGAUGAUGGAUGAUGCUGUCCUCUGCAUGUGUUUCAGCAGAGAUACAGAAAUGUUAGCAACUGGGGCCCAAGAUGGAAAAAUCAAGGUGUGGAAGAUUCAGAGUGGACAGUGUUUAAGGAGAUUUGAAAGGGCACACAGUAAAGGUGUCACCUGUUUAAGCUUUUCUAAGGAUAGCAGUCAGAUCCUGAGUGCCUCUUUUGACCAGACAAUUAGAAUUCAUGGCUUAAAGUCUGGUAAAACUCUGAAGGAAUUUCGUGGCCAUUCCUCCUUUGUUAAUGAAGCAACGUUUACACAAGAUGGACAUUAUAUUAUUAGUGCAUCCUCUGAUGGCACCGUAAAGAUUUGGAACAUGAAGACCACAGAAUGUUCAAAUACCUUUAAGUCCCUGGGCAGCACUGCGGGGACAGACAUCACUGUCAACAGUGUGAUCCUGCUUCCUAAAAACCCAGAGCACUUUGUGGUGUGCAACAGAUCAAACACGGUGGUCAUCAUGAACAUGCAGGGGCAGAUUGUUAGAAGCUUCAGCUCUGGUAAGAGAGAAGGUGGUGACUUUGUUUGCUGUGCCCUCUCUCCCCGUGGUGAGUGGAUCUACUGUGUGGGGGAGGACUUUGUGCUCUACUGUUUCAGCACAGUCACUGGCAAACUGGAGAGAACUUUGACAGUUCACGAGAAGGAUGUGAUUGGCAUUGCCCAUCACCCUCAUCAGAACCUCAUUGCUACCUACAGUGAAGAUGGACUCCUAAAGCUCUGGAAACCCUAAGUCAACUCUUCUUUUCAAACUAGCCUGGGAGCAUGCACUUCAAUGAAGACAUCCAUGUGACCUUGGGCUUGGCAAUGAGUUAAAAACAACAUCAAAAGCAUGAUCUGUGAAAGCAAAAAUUGUCAAGUUGGGAGUUCAUUAAAAUUAAAAACUUCUGCUCUAUGAAAAUUGAGGGAAUGAAAAGACAAGCCACAGAUUCAGAGAAGCUAUUUACAAAACACAUGGGUCAGAUAAAAAAACUUUAUACAGAAUAUACAAAGAACUCUAAAAAGUCAACAACAACAAAAACAAUCCAAUCAAAAAGUAGGCAAACGAUUUGAACAGAUACCUCACCAAAGAAGAUAUCCAGAUGGCAUAUAAACAUGAAAAGAUGCUUAGGAUUUGUCAUCAGGGAAUUGCAAAUUAAAAUGCAACAAUGAGAUAUCAAUAGCAUCUAUUGUUAGCUGCUGUUGAGUCAGCCCCAACUUAUGGUGACCCCAUGCACCAGAGGACAAAGCACUGCUUGGCCUGCACCAUCCUCAUCAUGGUUGUGGAUCAGAUCAUUGUCAUCUGUAGGGUUUUCAUUGGCUGAUUUCUGGAAGUAGAU
Trichechus manatus latirostris (Florida manatee) is the source of this 2242-nucleotide RNA transcript. It is a transcript of the gene named SMU1 DNA replication regulator and spliceosomal factor, with no coding region annotated. NCBI's taxonomy places the organism in Eukaryota, Metazoa, Chordata, Mammalia, Sirenia, Trichechidae. The record is from RefSeq and is a predicted model, not a curated record. The transcript is spliced from 13 exons.